RNAcentral lists this ribosomal RNA (465 nucleotides) under uncultured bacterium. Its description in RNAcentral is "partial 16S ribosomal RNA". It matches the Rfam family "Bacterial small subunit ribosomal RNA", at positions 338 to 795 of the family's 1533-position model. The record is from RNAcentral.
CCUACGGGAGGCAGCAGUAGGGAAUCUUCCACAAUGGGCGAAAGCCUGAUGCAGCAACGCCGCGUGGGUGAAGAAGGUCUUCGGAUCGUAAAACCCUGUUGUUAGAGAAGAAAGUGCGUGAGAGUAACUGUUCACGUUUCGACGGUAUCUUACCAGAAAGCCACGGCUAACUACGUGCCAGCAGCCGCGGUAAUACGUAGGUGGCAAGCGUUAUCCGGAUUGAUUGGGCGUAAAGGGAACGCAGGCGGGCUUUUAAGUCUGAUGUGAAAGCCUUCGGCUUAACCGGGGUAGUGCAUUGGAAACUGGGAGGCUUGAGUGCAGGAGGGGAGAGUGGAACUCCAUGUGUAGCGGUGAAAUGCGUAGAUAUAUGGAAGAACACCAGUGGCGAAGGCGGCUCUCUGGUCUGUAACUGACGCUGAGGUUCGAAAGCGUGGGUAGCAAACAGGAUUAGAUACCCCAGUAGUC